GGAGUGUACAGCUCAGUUGUAGAGCACAUGCUUAGCAUGCACAAGGUCCUGGGUUCAAUCCCCAGUACCUCUG
Non-coding RNA from Camelus ferus (Wild Bactrian camel), 73 nucleotides. NCBI's taxonomy places the organism in Eukaryota, Metazoa, Chordata, Mammalia, Artiodactyla, Camelidae. The record is from Rfam.